RNAcentral lists this ribosomal RNA (800 nucleotides) under uncultured bacterium. Its description in RNAcentral is "bacterial SSU rRNA". It matches the Rfam family "Bacterial small subunit ribosomal RNA", at positions 8 to 824 of the family's 1533-position model. The record is from RNAcentral.
AGAGUUUGAUCAUGGCUCAGGAUGAACGCUGGCGGCGUGCAUAACACAUUCAAGUCGAACGGAGAAUAAAGCUUCGGUUUUAUUCUUAGUGGCGGACGGGUGAGUAACACGUGAGCAACCUGCCUGUGUGAGGGGGAUAACAGCCGGAAACAGCUGCUAAUACCGCAUGAAACAGAGUGACCGCAUGGUCAAGCUGUCAAAGAUUUAUCGCACACAGAUGGGCUCGCGUCCGAUUAGUUAGAUGGUGAGGUAACGGCUCACCAUGACGACGAUCGGUAGCCGGACUGAGAGGUUGACCGGCCACAUUGGAACUGAGAUACGGUCCAGACUCCUACGGGAGGCAGCAGUGGGGAAUAUUGGGCAAUGGGCGAAAGCCUGACCCAGCGACGCCGCGUGAAGGAAGACGGUCUUCGGAUUGUAAACUUCAAACAACAGGGAAGAAAAAAUGACUGUACCUGUUAGGAAGCCACGGCUAACUACGUGCCAGCAGCCGCGGUAAUACGUAGGUGGCGAGCGUUAUCCGGAUUUACUGGGUGUAAAGGGUGUGUAGGCGGGAAGGCAAGUCAGAUGUGAAAACUAUGAGCUCAACUCAUAGCCUGCAUUUGAAACUGUUUUUCUUGAGUGUCGGAGAGGUAAACGGAAUUCCCAGUGUAGCGGUGAAAUGCGUAGAUAUUGGGAGGAACACCAGUGGCGAAGGCGGUUUACUGGACGACAACUGACGCUGAGACACGAAAGCGUGGGGAGCAAACAGGAUUAGAUACCCUGGUAGUCCACGCUGUAAACGAUGAACACUAGGUGUA